GUGGCGGACGGGUGAGUAACGCGUGGGUAACCUGCCUUGUACUGGGGGGCAACAGUUGGAAACGACUGCUAAUACCGCAUAAGCGCACAGCUUCGCAUGAAGCAGUGUGAAAAACUCCGGUGGUACAAGAUGGACCCGCGUCUGAUUAGCUGGUUGGUGAGGUAACGGCCCACCAAGGCAACGAUCAGUAGCCGGCCUGAGAGGGUGAACGGCCACAUUGGGACUGAGACACGGCCCAAACUCCUACGGGAGGCAGCAUG
This 260-nucleotide ribosomal RNA is filed under the name uncultured bacterium. RNAcentral's name for it is "partial 16S ribosomal RNA". It matches the Rfam family "Bacterial small subunit ribosomal RNA", at positions 95 to 353 of the family's 1533-position model. The record is from RNAcentral.